Molecule: ribosomal RNA, 253 nt
Filed under: uncultured bacterium
Lineage: Bacteria
Description: partial 16S ribosomal RNA
Rfam family: Bacterial small subunit ribosomal RNA
Source: RNAcentral
GACAGAGGGUGCAAACGUUGUUCGGAAUUACUGGGCGUAAAGCGCGUGUAGGCGGCUCGGCAAGUCGGGUGUGAAAGCCCUGGGCUUAACCUAGGAAGUGCACUCGAAACUGCCAAGCUUGAGUUCUGGAGAGGAAGGCGGAAUUCUCGGUGUAGAGGUGAAAUUCGUAGAUAUCGAGAGGAACACCGGUGGCGAAGGCGGCCUUCUGGACAGCAACUGACGCUGAGACGCGAAAGCUAGGGGAGCGAAUGGG